Long non-coding RNA from Xiphias gladius (swordfish), 353 nucleotides. RefSeq lists it as uncharacterized. The record is from RefSeq and is a predicted model, not a curated record. Lineage: Eukaryota; Metazoa; Chordata; Actinopteri; Istiophoriformes; Xiphiidae. The transcript has 3 exons.
UGCCCGAUAACUGAGAGAAUGGCUGCACGUAAUGGACAUGGAUGGUCGAGAGGCUGCUAAUGACGCGAAGAGGAAGCGACUAGAUGACCCACAUAGUUAAGGAUAUGACACGCUGUGCGUCCAUGAAUGUUUUCAUCUGUACUGUGCGCAAAUGCGGCGGACCUCGAAGGGGUUUUCAACUUUUUUUUCUCUUGUUUUCGCUCAAGUAUAAUCACAGGUGACUAACUACAGAGGAUAACAGGGUCAGUCAGCUUCCUCCAGGGUUUGGGUCUUGCCAGGAUCUCACUGACCGAGCCCUGGGAGAGGCCCAGCACAUAGUGGCCGAACACACGCUGGCCAAUGUUAUGCUUGAG